GAUGAACGCUGGCGGCGUGCCUAAUACAUGCAAGUCGAGCGAACGGACGAGAAGCUUGCUUCUCUGAUGUUAGCGGCGGACGGGUGAGUAACACGUGGAUAACCUACCUAUAAGACUGGGAUAACUUCGGGAAACCGGAGCUAAUACCGGAUAAUAUUUUGAACCGCAUGGUUCAAAAGUGAAAGACGGUCUUGCUGUCACUUAUAGAUGGAUCCGCGCUGCAUUAGCUAGUUGGUAAGGUAACGGCUUACCAAGGCAACGAUGCAUAGCCGACCUGAGAGGGUGAUCGGCCACACUGGAACUGAGACACGGUCCAGACUCCUACGGGAGGCAGCAGUAGGGAAUCUUCCGCAAUGGGCGAAAGCCUGACGGAGCAACGCCGCGUGAGUGAUGAAGGUCUUCGGAUCGUAAAACUCUGUUAUUAGGGAAGAACAUAUGUGUAAGUAACUGUGCACAUCUUGACGGUACCUAAUCAGAAAGCCACGGCUAACUACGUGCCAGCAGCCGCGGNUAUACGUAGGUGGCAAGCGUUAUCCGAAUUUAUUGGGCGUAAGCGCGCGUAGGCGGUUUUUUAGUCUGAUGUGAAAGCCCACGGCUCAACCGUGGAGGGUCAUUGGAAACUGGAAAACUUGAGUGCAGAAGAGGAAAGUGGAAUUCCAUGUGUAGCGGUGAAAUGCGCAGAGAUAUGGAGGAACACCAGUGGCGAAGGCGACUUUCUGGUCUGUAACUGACGCUGAUGUGCGAAAGCGUGGGGAUCAAACAGGAUUAGAUACCCUGGUAGUCCACGCCGUAAACGAUGAGUGCUAAGUGUUAGGGGGUUUCCGCCCCUUAGUGCUGCAGCUAACGCAUUAAGCACUCCGCCUGGGGAGUACGACCGCAAGGUUGAAACUCAAAGGAAUUGACGGGGACCCGCACAAGCGGUGGAGCAUGUGGUUUAAUUCGAAGCAACGCGAAGAACCUUACCAAAUCUUGACAUCCUUUGACAACUCUAGAGAUAGAGCCUUCCCCUUCGGGGGACAAAGUGACAGGUGGUGCAUGGUUGUCGUCAGCUCGUGUCGUGAGAUGUUGGGUUAAGUCCCGCAACGAGCGCAACCCUUAAGCUUAGUUGCCAUCAUUAAGUUGGGCACUCUAAGUUGACUGCCGGUGACAAACCGGAGGAAGGUGGGGAUGACGUCAAAUCAUCAUGCCCCUUAUGAUUUGGGCUACACACGUGCUACAAUGGACAAUACAAAGGGCAGCGAAACCGCGAGGUCAAGCAAAUCCCAUAAAGUUGUUCUCAGUUCGGAUUGUAGUCUGCAACUCGACUACAUGAAGCUGGAAUCGCUAGUAAUCGUAGAUCAGCAUGCCACGGUGAAUACGUUCCCGGGUCU
RNAcentral lists this ribosomal RNA (1370 nucleotides) under uncultured bacterium. RNAcentral describes it as "bacterial SSU rRNA". It matches the Rfam family "Bacterial small subunit ribosomal RNA", at positions 28 to 1381 of the family's 1533-position model. The record is from RNAcentral.